Molecule: unclassified non-coding RNA, 386 nt
Filed under: Hevea brasiliensis (rubber tree)
Lineage: Eukaryota; Viridiplantae; Streptophyta; Magnoliopsida; Malpighiales; Euphorbiaceae
Source: RNAcentral
AGCAAUCGAGAUCGAGAUGGAGGUGGCGAGAGGCGGCGGGAAGCUGAACCCGUGGGCGGAGCCCUUCGUGCCGGCGGGCUGGUCGGCCACCUACUGGCGCUGCGGCGGCGUCGCUGCCGUGGAGCCGGCUGUGGCCGAGGUGGAGGACUUCUCCCCGGAGUGGUGGCGCCUCGUCGGCUCCUCCCCGGCCUUCCGCGACCGCUGGCUCCGGGACUACUCCGCGCUGGGCCUCCUCGACGACAACGACAACGGCGACGGCUACGACCUCGAGGGGUUCCUCCUCCCCGACGACCUCUUCUCCUCCACCCCUCAUCUGGUGGGAGAACCGGCGGAUGAGAAGGAGGGCAAGGGUUUCGGCGGCGCCGGGGGGAAGAAGGUGAAGGGCG